This 403-nucleotide ribosomal RNA is filed under the name uncultured bacterium. RNAcentral's name for it is "partial 16S ribosomal RNA". It matches the Rfam family "Bacterial small subunit ribosomal RNA", at positions 30 to 526 of the family's 1533-position model. The record is from RNAcentral.
AUUGAACGCUGGCGGCAGGCCUAACACAUGCAAGUCGAGCGAGCGGCGGACGGGUGAGUAAUGUAUGGGGACUGCCCGAUAGAGGGGGAUAACUACUGGAAACGGUGGCUAAUACCGCAUACUAUCGGAUAACCCAUAUGGGAUUAGCUAGUAGGUGGGGUAAAGGCUCACCUAGGCGACGAUCUCUCGCUGGUCUGAGAGGAUGAUUAGCCACACUGUGACUGAGACACUGCCCCGAUGCCUACGGAGGCAGCAGUUGUGAAUAUUGCACAAUGGUGUCACGCCUGAUGCAGCCAUGCCGCGUGUAUUAAGCAUGCCUUAGGGUUGUAAAGUAGUUGCAGCGGGGAGGCGUGACCCGCAGAAGAAGCACCGGCUCACUCCGUGCCAGCAGCCGCGGUAAUAC